UACGUAGGGUGCAAGCGUUGUCCGGAAUUAUUGGGCGUAAAGAGCUCGUAGGCGGUUUGUCGCGUCUGCUGUGAAAACCCGAGGCUCAACCUCGGGCCUGCAAUGGGUACGGGCAGACUAGAGUGCGGUAGGGGAGAUUGGAAUUCCUGGUGUAGCGGUGGAAUGCGCAGAUAUCAGGAGGAACACCAAUGGCGAAGGCAGAUCUCUGGGCCGUAACUGACGCUGAGGAGCGAAAGCAUGGGGAGCGAACAGG
RNAcentral lists this ribosomal RNA (253 nucleotides) under uncultured bacterium. RNAcentral describes it as "partial 16S ribosomal RNA". It matches the Rfam family "Bacterial small subunit ribosomal RNA", at positions 524 to 776 of the family's 1533-position model. The record is from RNAcentral.